GACGAACGCUGGCGGCGUGCUUAACACAUGCAAGUCGAACGGAAAGGCCCUGCUUUUGUGGGGUGCUCGAGUGGCGAACGGGUGAGUAACACGUGGGUAACCUGCCCUUGACUUUGUGAUAACUUCAGGAAACUGGGGCUAAUACCGGAUAGGAGCUCCUGCUGCAUGGUGGGGGUUGGAAAGUUUCGGCGGUUGGGGAUGGACUCGCGGCUUAUCAGCUUGUUGGUGGGGUAGUGGCUUACCAAGGCUUUGACGGGUAGCCGGCCUGAGAGGGUGACCGGCCACAUUGGGACUGAGAUACGGCCCAGACUCCUACGGGAGGCAGCAGUGGGGAAUAUUGCACAAUGGGCGGAAGCCUGAUGCAGCAACGCCGCGUGCGGGAUGACGGCCUUCGGGUUGUAAACCGCUUUCGCCUGUGACGAAGCGUGAGUGACGGUAAUGGGUAAAGAAGCACCGGCUAACUACGUG
This 468-nucleotide ribosomal RNA is filed under the name uncultured bacterium. RNAcentral's name for it is "partial 16S ribosomal RNA". It matches the Rfam family "Bacterial small subunit ribosomal RNA", at positions 28 to 507 of the family's 1533-position model. The record is from RNAcentral.